This 288-nucleotide ribosomal RNA is filed under the name uncultured Actinomyces sp. RNAcentral's name for it is "partial 16S ribosomal RNA". It matches the Rfam family "Bacterial small subunit ribosomal RNA", at positions 223 to 523 of the family's 1533-position model. Lineage: Bacteria; Bacillati; Actinomycetota; Actinomycetes; Actinomycetales; Actinomycetaceae. The record is from RNAcentral.
GGAUGAGCCCGCGGCCUAUCAGCUUGUUGGUGAGGUAAUGGCUCACCAAGGCUUCGACGGGUAGCCGGCCUGAGAGGGUGACCGGCCACACUGGGACUGAGACACGGCCCAGACUCCUACGGGAGGCAGCAGUGGGGAAUAUUGCACAAUGGGCGGAAGCCUGAUGCAGCGACGCCGCGUGAGGGAUGACGGCCUUCGGUUUGUAAACCUCUUUCAGCAGGGACGAAGCGCAAGUGACGGUACCUGCAGAAGAAGCACCGGCUAACUACGUGCCAGCAGCCGCGGCCG